This 565-nucleotide ribosomal RNA is filed under the name Neonectria sp. BESC103b. RNAcentral's name for it is "eukaryotic LSU rRNA". It matches the Rfam family "Eukaryotic large subunit ribosomal RNA", at positions 1 to 579 of the family's 3401-position model. The record is from RNAcentral. Lineage: Eukaryota; Fungi; Ascomycota; Sordariomycetes; Hypocreales; Nectriaceae.
ACCUCGGAUCAGGUAGGAAUACCCGCUGAACUUAAGCAUAUCAAUAAGCGGAGGAAAAGAAACCAACAGGGAUUGCCCUAGUAACGGCGAGUGAAGCGGCAACAGCUCAAAUUUGAAAUCUGGCCCUCGGGUCCGAAUUGUAAUUUGUAGAGGAUGCUUUUGGUGAGGUACCUUCCGAGUUCCCUGGAACGGGACGCCAUAGAGGGUGAGAGCCCCGUCUGGUUGGAUACCGAUCCUCUGUAAAGCUCCUUCGACGAGUCGAGUAGUUUGGGAAUGCUGCUCUAAAUGGGAGGUAUAUGUCUUCUAAAGCUAAAUAUUGGCCAGAGACCGAUAGCGCACAAGUAGAGUGAUCGAAAGAUGAAAAGCACUUUGAAAAGAGAGUUAAAAAGUACGUGAAAUUGUUGAAAGGGAAGCGCUCAUGACCAGACUUGGGCUUGGUUGAUCAUCCAGGGUUCUCCCUGGUGCACUCUUCCAGCCCAGGCCAGCAUCAGUUCGCUGUGGGGGAUAAAGGCUUUGGGAAUGUGGCUCCUCCGGGAGUGUUAUAGCCCAUUGUGUAAUACCCUGU